AAGAACAAAUUUCCAUAAGCAGCUAUUCCUGAUAGACCUUGCUGGCAGUGAAAUAACAGGACAGAAACAGGAAAGAACAGAUUGCAUGAGGCAGCUGGUUCCAUACCAAGAUGCGAAGUUAACAUACUGGUUAAAGAACUAUUUCACUGGAAAAGGAAAGGUGCAAAUGAUUGUGUACAUGAAUCCCAAGUCCACCAAUUACAGAGAAAACCUGUGAUUUCUGAAAAAGGACUCGAAGAUGCUUAC
This is a long non-coding RNA of Octodon degus (degu), 246 nucleotides long. RefSeq lists it as uncharacterized. The record is from RefSeq and is a predicted model, not a curated record. NCBI's taxonomy places the organism in Eukaryota, Metazoa, Chordata, Mammalia, Rodentia, Octodontidae. The transcript is spliced from 3 exons.